UACGAAGGUGGCAAGCGUUGUUCGGAUUUACUGGGCGUACAGGGAGCGUAGGCGGUUGGAUAAGCCCUCCGUGAAAUCUCCAGGCUUAACCUGGAAAGUGCAGAGGGGACUGUUCAGCUAGAGGAUGGGAGAGGAGCGCGGAAUUCCCGGUGUAGCGGUGAAAUGCGUAGAGAUCGGAAAGAACACCAACGGCGAAAGCACUCUGCUGGGCCGACACUGACACUGAGAGACGAAAGCUAGGGGAGCGAAUGGG
RNAcentral lists this ribosomal RNA (253 nucleotides) under uncultured bacterium. RNAcentral's name for it is "partial 16S ribosomal RNA". It matches the Rfam family "Bacterial small subunit ribosomal RNA", at positions 524 to 776 of the family's 1533-position model. The record is from RNAcentral.